Molecule: long non-coding RNA, 1488 nt
Organism: Xyrauchen texanus (razorback sucker)
Lineage: Eukaryota; Metazoa; Chordata; Actinopteri; Cypriniformes; Catostomidae
Exons: 5
Source: RefSeq, a predicted model, not a curated record
AGGUGUUUCAGUGAACAUUUUUAUGUGCUCUCUCAGAGGGAAAUUCAGGUAUAUAAUUCAGAGUCAGAGACAUCCAGCUCUAGGCAAUUUUGGCCCAGCAACUCCCUUGCUCCUCAGUUUUGCUUUGAUGCAGAGCUGAAACUUGAGCGAGGCAAUGCAGCAUACAAAGAGGAGGGUACAUUGCUUACUCCAGAUCCUAAACUGAAGUCGAACAUUAUUGAAAGCCUGGUUCAAGAAAUUGUCCGAUACAACGUUUAUUUCACUGAUAAAGAGUUUAACACAGAUGGAAAGGCCCUCACCUCUAAACAUCCUUGACUCACUGAGAAAGGCUCCCUGACAGGAUAUGCUGGUUGGAAAACUAGCUUAAAGAAUACACUUGCAAUUUACCACACUCACUUGAGAAAACUUGUACAUCCUGAGGUGAUUGUAAACUCUGUUAAGCACAAACCGGAGGGCAAAUCAAGUGCUGCUUCUGCCAUCAAAAGACCACGGCAGCCUGAAGUAAACUACCCCCCUCCCUCCCCCAUCCCACCGGAGAAUCUGAUGAGAGCCUUGAGAGUGGCACUUCUUUCAGAUGUGAAGAACAACAACAACAACAGGGAAGUGGUUAUGAUGAAAAUGAAAAGACAUUUGCUUAUAGGAGAUAUGAAGUGGUUUGUGACAUCCCCAUGAUCCAAGACUUCAGGGCAAGAUGGCCAGCACUCUUUGACGUAAGCAAGAUAAAUGCAGAAUUUAAGCACAUUACCACCAUGCCCCUACAGUCCACAUUUCUGUCGCAGAUAGAUGUGCUGUCUGACAAAUUUCUAAAGCUAUUUCAAAAGUGAGGAGGACAGAUAAGAAGAAGACUGCAGACCAUCAUGGAACCCAAGGCUAAAGAUGAUGAUGUUGAUAUUGGAUGAGAAUGUAUUAUCAAGGGGCUCUAUUAUUGAGAGAAUAUGCGGCGAGUACAAUUAUAAAGGCUGCAGACAAAGCCUUCAUCCCAGGAUCCAUUGAGGAGACCAGAGUAUGGGAAUCUACGUUCUCAAACACAAAGGUACCAUGACAGACCAGAGGACAUCGAGGUUGUCCUUGAGGGCCAGAUGGUCUUACAAGAUUUGGAUAACUUUGCAUUCGCUGCUGCGAUGUUAUUUGGACAGAUGUUAUUCUGAACUGAUGUAUACCUUUGAGGUACUGCAGAAAAUGGUCAUGGAGCUGGAAGGCAGCACACUUUCAAAGAAAGCACAAGUUCUCAGAAGCAGACUCUAUGAGUGAGCUGUUUUCAUGUUAUGGCAGGGUAUGACAAGGUAGUUUCACAUGUUUGCCUCUUGGAAUAAGGAUCAUUAUUUAUUUUUCGUUUCACACACCCACACACAGAAAACUUACUUAUAGAGUGCAUAUGGAGUGAAACUUUUAAUAGAGGGUAGGUUGGCCACUGUUUAUUUUUUUAUUUUUUUGGUGAUGUGUAUGGCAUGUGUACGAUUUUCACGAUUAUCUGCAAAUGUACCUAUA